AGAAAGGAAAAAAAGAGAAAAAAGGAAAAGAAAAGAAGGUCAAAGAUAAAGAGAAGAAGGUUGAUGAAGAAUCGGAGGAAGAAACAGAAAAAGACAAGGGAGUUAAAGGCGGGGAACUGAAGGCAAAGAAGAAAGAUAAGAAGAAAGAUAAGGAGAAAAAAGAGAAGGGCAAAGAUGAAAUUGAGGAGGAAGAAGAUAAUGAAGAUGAAGGGAACGAAGAAAACAAGAAGAAAAAGAACAAAGAUAAGGAGAUGAAAGAGAAGAAGCACAAGGAUGAAGCAGACGAUGAAAUAAAAUAUGGAGAUGGAGAGAAGAAGAAGAAGAAAGAGAAAAAGGACAAGGAAGAGAAAAUGCCGAAGGAACGUAAGGAUGAAGCUACUCAGUCAAAGUGCGAGGCUGGGGUUACCACCAGGGAGAUUGGAAUAAAUGAUGAG
This 434-nucleotide long non-coding RNA is filed under the name Populus tremula. RNAcentral's name for it is "long non-coding RNA (PTRE_LNC000844)". The record is from RNAcentral. Lineage: Eukaryota; Viridiplantae; Streptophyta; Magnoliopsida; Malpighiales; Salicaceae.